ACUAGCAGUAAGAGUUUGAUCAUGGCUCAGAACGAACGCUGGCGGCAUGCCUAACACAUGCAAGUCGAGCGCUCUCUUCGGAGGGAGCGGCGGACGGGUGAGUAACGCGUGGGAACGUGCCCCUUGGUGCGGAACAACAGCUGGAAACGGCUGCUAAUACCGCAUGAUGUCUACGGACCAAAGAUUUAUCGCCAAGGGAUCGGCCCGCGUCGGAUUAGGUAGUUGGUGGGGUAACGGCCCACCAAGCCGACGAUCCGUAGCUGGUUUGAGAGGAUGAUCAGCCACACUGGGACUGAGACACGGCCCAGACUCCUACGGGAGGCAGCAGUGGGGAAUCUUGGACAAUGGGGGCAACCCUGAUCCAGCCAUGCCGCGUGAGCGAUGAAGGCCCUAGGGUUGUAAAGCUCUUUCACCCGCGAAGAUAAUGACGGUAGCGGGAGAAGAAGCCCCGGCUAACUCCGUGCCAGCCGCCGCGGUAAUUC
Molecule: ribosomal RNA, 482 nt
Filed under: uncultured Pseudomonadota bacterium
Lineage: Bacteria; Pseudomonadati; Pseudomonadota
Description: bacterial SSU rRNA
Rfam family: Bacterial small subunit ribosomal RNA
Source: RNAcentral